Mus musculus (house mouse) is the source of this 2167-nucleotide long non-coding RNA. RefSeq annotates it as predicted gene, 31057. The transcript has 3 exons. Lineage: Eukaryota; Metazoa; Chordata; Mammalia; Rodentia; Muridae. The record is from RefSeq and is marked validated.
AGAAGGUGGGCAGGGCUGCUCCCUGCAUGGAUAUGCAGGGUGUGGAGUACCUGCCCAUCACAGCCUGUUGGCACUGAAGGACUGAGACCGGUGACUUUUGGCCCUAGUUGGGGGUCACUCUCUGGAGAGGACUCAGGGGCCAGAUUAGGCUGCCCCUGCCAUCCUUCCUGGAACCAACCCACCAAGGCUGUACUUGUCAAGAGAGAUAACCAGUGCACUCUCGCCCUACAGGGAGGGGCACAUCUGCAUGCACAACUCCCAGCCUGGUGCAACCAACACCAUGAGCACCGAAGCAGGUCAAGGUGGUGCCUGGGAGACAAGGAAAGUCCCAGAACUGGAACAGCCCCUAACAAGCCCUGCUUAGCCACAGCCAUGAGCAUCCCCAGGCUGUGCCACGGCAGCCCAGGCAGGAACCACCAAGAGAUGUAGCUAUGAGCUGUAGGCAUCAACAGAACACGGAAUCCAGGGCACUGUAGCCCCUGACAGGCAGGGAGAAGCAGAGGUCCAGGGAGAAGCAGAGGUCCAGAAGCUCUUCCUGAUUUGGUCACAGGCCCUGGCUCUCUGCCUGGUAAUGGGGCCGGUUGGGACCACCACGAAGAGCUGACAGGACCACCCACCCCUGAUCUUCAAGCUGCCGCCACUCCAGGACUCAGGAGACUAAGACAAGAGGAUCACACCAGCCCAACGAACAGUAAUGCGGGAGGACUGCAGAAGGAAGGCAUGGGCCUUUCUAUGCAAGCGUGGACACUCAACCUUGCUUCUUGGGAGACAGGUUGACCCUUUCCACCCUACACUGGGAUCCAGGCACGCCCCUCAGCUCAGCACCACUGGACACAUGAGGUCAUCCAAGCAGGACCAGACUCCGAGGUCACCUUCAGUGGCUCACACACAGAGACCACACAUGUCGGCAGCAGGUCGCCAGAGAGCUAUGGGAAGCUGCACACAAGUGUGAGACCUGGCCACAGAAGAGGGCGGGAGAGCCUAGGAAGUGCUGCUCAGCCUCAGUAUAGGCACACAGCAAGUCUUACCCUACGAGGAUCCCUGUCCCCAGGUCAUCCUUCAGAGCCCUCCCUUUCCAUAAGGCCAGCCCUGUAGGAUGCCAAGGGCUUCCAAGCAGAUGGAGUUGCUAAGUGGGAUGCAAGGGGUGCCCCCUCCAUGCCUAAGAUGCUGGGCUCUCUGAGGCAGGAACAGCCAUGGAGCCUCCAUGGUCACCCGACAGUCCAGAAGAGAAGCUGAUAGGUAAGGCGGUGGGGCCACAUGCUAAUAUCCUGGAGCAAGGCAAGAGGUAGCCUUCCUUUCCCAUGGUCCACAAGGGCUGUGAGCCAAUAAAGAAAAUUCUCUAAGACCAGCCUGGCCGUCCUAACUGGAUCCCAGUGGAGAUGGCCAGGGCCCUCUAUGCCCCACCCUGACACCAGCAGAGACCCAGUCAGGAUGUCUCCCAGGCCCAAGUUGCCAACUCACCAGAGCUCAGGCUGGCGACUGAGGGCCCUGCAUCUUCAGAGGAAGAGCAUGCUGGCCAGUAUUAUGUGAACACGGUCCUUUUGUCACUUGUCAUGGAGGCUGGUGGGGUCAUGUGGGGCUUUCAGACGGUUAAAUGCAGCCCUGCCCCCACCACUCCACAUGACGGUUUCUGCUCAGAACUAUGGCAAGGUCCCCAACCAGGUUCUCUUUGUCACCCACUCAGGUCUGGGACCUGCCCCAAUGCCCACCUCCCACUCAAUGGACAGACCCAGGACUCCCAGUCCCAGGACUCUCAACACACAAACUCUCAAGUCCUCAGAUGAACAGCUCACUGCAGCUGCAGGAACCCUGUUAACAGAAGACCAGGAUGAGCUCAGUCCCAGCCUUUCCCACUACACAAGACAGUAUCCCACAGCAACCAGUGGCACUUCAGAGUCACCAAAACCUUUCUAGAAGGCUGGAUAUCAAGUCAGCAUGUCAGCAGAGUUUUCUGUUGGCAUCUUCCAGCCACUAGACAAACUCAUAUUGGCCUUCAAAACCUAGUUUAAGGGAUGGAGAGAUGGCUCAGCAGUUAAGAGCACUGACUGUUCUUCCAAAGCUCCUGAGUUCAAUUCCCAGCAACCACAUGGUGGCUCACAAGGGAUCCAAGGCUCUCUUCUGGUCAGCUACAGCAUACUCAUAGGCAUAAAAUAAAUCUUUAAAAAAA